UUUAAUUGAAGAGUUUGAUCAUGGCUCAGAUUGAACGCUGGCGGCAGGCCUAACACAUGCAAGUCGAGCGGCAGCGACAUAAACAAUCCUUCGGGUGCGUCUAUGGGCGGCGAGCGGCGGACGGGUG
Molecule: ribosomal RNA, 127 nt
Filed under: Photobacterium rosenbergii
Lineage: Bacteria; Pseudomonadati; Pseudomonadota; Gammaproteobacteria; Vibrionales; Vibrionaceae
Description: partial 16S ribosomal RNA
Rfam family: Bacterial small subunit ribosomal RNA
Source: RNAcentral